AGUGAACGCUGGCGGUAGGCCUAACACAUGCAAGUCGAACGGCAGCACAGUAAGCGCUUGCUCUUACGGGUGGCGAGUGGCGGACGGGUGAGGAAUACAUCGGAAUCUACUUUUUCGUGGGGGAUAACGUGGGGAAACUUCCGCUAAUACCGCAUACGACCUACGGGUGAAAGCAGGGGAUCUUCGGACCUUGCGCGAUUGAAUGAGCCGAUGUCGGGUUAGCUAGUUGGCGGGGUAAAGGCCCACCAAGGCGACGAUCCGUAGCUGGUCUGAGAGGAUGAUCAGCCACACUGGAACUGAGACACGGUCCAGACUCCUACGGGAGGCAGCAGUGGGGAAUAUUGGACAAUGGGCGCAAGCCUGAUCCAGCCAUACCGCGUGGGUGAAGAAGGCCUUCGGGUUGUAAAGCCCUUUUGUUGGGAAAGAAAAGCAGCAGGUUAAUACCCCGCUGUUCUGACGGUACCCAAAGAAUAAGCACCGGCUAACUUCGUG
Molecule: ribosomal RNA, 492 nt
Filed under: uncultured bacterium
Lineage: Bacteria
Description: partial 16S ribosomal RNA
Rfam family: Bacterial small subunit ribosomal RNA
Source: RNAcentral